AGCUCAGUCAGUUGAGCGUAGCGCUAACAAUGCCAAGGUCGCGGGUUCGAUUCCCGU
This 57-nucleotide transfer RNA is filed under the name Apaloderma vittatum (bar-tailed trogon). It matches the Rfam family "tRNA", at positions 9 to 63 of the family's 71-position model. Rfam says of the family: Transfer RNA (tRNA) molecules are approximately 80 nucleotides in length. Their secondary structure includes four short double-helical elements and three loops (D, anti-codon, and T loops). Lineage: Eukaryota; Metazoa; Chordata; Aves; Trogoniformes; Trogonidae. The record is from Rfam by way of RNAcentral.